CUGUCCCCAGACGCCAUGGAGUUGGUGCUGGUCUUCCUCUGCAGCCUGCUGGCCCCCAUGGUCCUGGCCAGUGCAGCUGAAAAGGAGAAGGAAAUGGACCCUUUUCAUUAUGCAACAGAGCCCCAGAAAGCAGAGAACUGAAGUGCAGCCAUCAGGUGGAAGGUGAGAUGCUCAGUGCCUGGAUUGGCCCCUGUUGCCAUCACCGUCUGCAUCAGGGCCUGGACAGGGGUUCAGGCGGGAAGGAUGGGGCUAGCUUUUGCAGUGGGCACAGCUUUUAUUAUGGGCCCUGCCCUGAGGAGCCUUCAGGAGUCUGAAAGGGGCUGUGAGAGAGACCAGGACUAGAAACACCCGAAGUGUCCCACACACAUGCAUGCCAACACCAGGAAAUGGGGCUUCCACACAGCCCACUGGCCGAGUGCAUAGGGCGUCAUCCCAAGUGCAACAUGGGAGAAUUAGAGUUAGUGAAAUGCUCCUAAUCUCAAAGUAGCAUAAAGAUAAUGGCUUUCCGUGGUGACUCAGAAAGUACUUUAGGGCCACUUGUUUUUUUAAACACCUUAUUAUGAAACUUCCCAACCCUAACCAAAAGUAGAGCAAAUAGUAUAUGAUCCUUCCCUCUCCACAUUUAAGGGCACUGAUUUUAGUAUCUAUUUCCAUUGUUCAUCGUAGGGGGCACAGGAGAGUAGUAACUGGCAAAUGCUGUACAGUUUUCAGAGUGCCACCACACACACAGACUCACUCGAGUCUGCCAGAAAAAGAGGAUGGGACAGGUGGGGUUUAGCCCAUUUUAUAGGUGAAACCAAGAUGAGAGGGAAUAGCCCCGUGGAGAGUGACAGCCCGGACUGUGAACUCAGGCCUUUGCGGCUGUGGUUCAGCGCCACUGCUCCCCUCUGUCCUGUGCGUCUCGCUUUAUGACAUGCCCUGGAAUAUCCUAAGGGAAAAGGUUUGUGUUUUGUCAGCUCACUUCUGCCUUUUUUUCCCCCCAUACAAGUAAGGCAUUAUAGAAAGGUAUAUAAGUUUAUCUCACAUUGUAAGGUAAAAGAGGUUUCUGGAUGAUGAAGUGCCCGAUGCACCAGCUUUGACUGUGCGUAACAAUAUCGUGUGCCUGUGUAGCAUUUAAAUUCUUUCCUAAGUGCUUUUGCAUCCUCAUAGCGGCCCGUGAUGGGCAGAGCAGGGCUCAUUACUCCCGUCUUCUGGAUGGGGCUCUCGAAGGCAAGUGAUCACCUAAGUGCGAAUGGACGAAGAUUCCGAUCUAGGAGGCAGGUGCCCUUCCUGGUAGCUUGGUGUUCUGUCUAUUUCAUCACAGACUGAGAAUCUGGGAAGGCUCAGAGGAGGCAGCCUGGAAAUGAAAUGUCUUUUCAUUUUUUUUUUCCCAAACUAGUUCUUUCUCAGAAACCUUUUAUCCUAAGGCUCAGGACUGUGAGCAACCACUGGGGAGGUCCUGGGUUUAACAAUUUCCUUUCCAUGUCUGCCAGGCUCCAGCCCACCUGGGAGAGGCUUCUUCUGAGGUUCACCCCUCCCCUGUGUCUUUGUCUCCUUUCUCUGCGUCUCAGACGAGGCUGUCAUACCGGGAAUUUCAGUGGGCAGGUGCUCAAGGAAGGGAGAGAAGCAGAUAAGGAUACCAGAGGCAGCCGAAGUGUUUUUAAUUUAAAUUAUCCUCCUCCUCAGCCUCUGGAACCUGAGGCGGCUGCUUGAACCUUUGGAUGCAAAUGUCGAUGCUUAAGAAAACCGGCCACUUCAGCAACAGCCCUUUCCCCAGGAGAAGCCAAGAACUUGUGUGUCCCCCACCCUAUCCCCUCUAACACCAUUCCUCCACCUGAUGAUGCAACUAACACUUGCCUCCCCACUGCAGCCUGCGGUCCUGCCCACCUCCCGUGAUGUGUGUGUGUGUGUGUGUGUGUGUGACUGUGUGUGUUUGCUAACUGUGGUCUUUGUGGCUACUUGUUUGUGGAUGGUAUUGUGUUUGUUAGUGAACUGUGGACUCGCUUUCCCAGGCAGGGGCUGAGCCACAUGGCCAUCUGCUCCUCCCUGCCCCCGUGGCCCUCCAUCACCUUCUGCUCCUAGGAGGCUGCUUGUUGCCCGAGACCAGCCCCCUCCCCUGAUUUAGGGAUGCGUAGGGUAAGAGCACGGGCAGUGGUCUUCAGUCGUCUUGGGACCUGGGAAGGUUUGCAGCACUUUGUCAUCAUUCUUCAUGGACUCCUUUCACUCCUUUAACAAAAACCUUGCUUCCUUAUCCCACCUGAUCCCAGUCUGAAGGUCUCUUAGCAACUGGAGAUACAAAGCAAGGAGCUGGUGAGCCCAGCGUUGACGUCAGGCAGGCUAUGCCCUUCCGUGGUUAAUUUCUUCCCAGGGGCUUCCACGAGGAGUCCCCAUCUGCCCCGCCCCUUCACAGAGCGCCCGGGGAUUCCAGGCCCAGGGCUUCUACUCUGCCCCUGGGGAAUGUGUCCCCUGCAUAUCUUCUCAGCAAUAACUCCAUGGGCUCUGGGACCCUACCCCUUCCAACCUUCCCUGCUUCUGAGACUUCAAUCUACAGCCCAGCUCAUCCAGAUGCAGACUACAGUCCCUGCAAUUGGGUCUCUGGCAGGCAAUAGUUGAAGGACUCCUGUUCCGUUGGGGCCAGCACACCGGGAUGGAUGGAGGGAGAGCAGAGGCCUUUGCUUCUCUGCCUACGUCCCCUUAGAUGGGCAGCAGAGGCAACUCCCGCAUCCUUUGCUCUGCCUGUCAGUGGUCAGAGCGGUGAGCGAGGUGGGUUGGAGACUCAGCAGGCUCCGUGCAGCCCUUGGGAACAGUGAGAGGUUGAAGGUCAUAACGAGAGUGGGAACUCAACCCAGAUCCCGCCCCUCCUGUCCUCUGUGUUCCCGCGGAAACCAACCAAACCGUGCGCUGUGACCCAUUGCUGUUCUCUGUAUCGUGAUCUAUCCUCAACAACAACAGAAAAAAGGAAUAAAAUAUCCUUUGUUUCCUAGUG
Molecule: long non-coding RNA, 2965 nt
Filed under: Homo sapiens (human)
Lineage: Eukaryota; Metazoa; Chordata; Mammalia; Primates; Hominidae
Description: non-protein coding lnc-FXYD2-1:5
Source: RNAcentral